Molecule: long non-coding RNA, 1736 nt
Organism: Oncorhynchus keta (chum salmon)
Lineage: Eukaryota; Metazoa; Chordata; Actinopteri; Salmoniformes; Salmonidae
Exons: 4
Source: RefSeq, a predicted model, not a curated record
GUAGUAGACCUUACAGUGAAAUGCUGAAUACAACAGGUGUAGUAGACCUUACAGUGAAAUGCUGAAUACAACAGGUGUAGUAGACCUUACAGUGAAAUGCUGAAUACAACAGGUGUAGUAGACCUUACAGUGAAAUGCUGAAUACAACAGGUGUAGUAGACCUUACAGUGAAAUGCUGAAUACAACAGGUGUAGUAGACCUUACAGUGAAAUGCUGAAUACAACAGGUGUAGUAGACCUUACAGUGAAAUGCUGAAUACAACAGGUGUAGUAGACCUUACAGUGAAAUGCUGAAUACAACAGGUGUAGUAGACCUUACAGUGAAAUGCUGAAUACAACAGGUGUAGUAGACCUUACAGUGAAAUGCUGAAUACAACAGGUGUAGUAGACCUUACAGUGAAAUGCUGAAUACAACAGGUGUAGUAGACCUUACAGUGAAAUGCUGAAUACAACAGGUGUAGUAGACCUUACAGUGAAAUGCUGAAUACAACAGGUGUAGUAGACCUUACAGUGAAAUGCUGAAUACAACAGGUGUAGUAGACCUUACAGUGAAAUGCUGAAUACAACAGGUGUAGUAGACCUUACAGUGAAAUGCUGAAUACAACAGGUGUAGUAGACCUUACAGUGAAAUGCUGAAUACAACAGGUGUAGUAGACCUUACAGUGAAAUGCUGAAUACAACAGGUGUAGUAGACCUUACAGUGAAAUGCUGAAUACAACAGGUGUAGUAGACCUUACAGUGAAAUGCUGAAUACAACAGGUGUAGUAGACCUUACAGUGAAAUGCUGAAUACAACAGGUGUAGUAGACCUUACAGUGAAAUGCUGAAUACAACAGGUGUAGUAGACCUUACAGUGAAAUGCUGAAUACAACAGGUGUAGUAGACCUUACAGUGAAAUGCUGAAUACAACAGGUGUAGUAGACCUUACAGUGAAAUGCUGAAUACAACAGGUGUAGUAGACCUUACAGUGAAAUGCUGAAUACAACAGGUGUAGUAGACCUUACAGUGAAAUGCUGAAUACAACAGGUGUAGUAGACCUUACAGUGAAAUGCUGAAUACAACAGGUAUAGUAGACCUUACAGUGAAAUGCUGAAUACAACAGGUGUAGUAGACCUUACAGUGAAAUGCUGAAUACAACAGGUGUAGUAGACCUUACAGUGAAAUGCUGAAUACAACAGGUAUAGUAGACCUUACAGUGAAAUGCUGAAUACAACAGGUAUAGUAGACCUUACAGUGAAAUGCUGAAUACAACAGGUAUAGUAGACCUUACAGUGAAAUGCUGAAUACAACAGGUAUAGUAGACCUUACAGUGAAAUGCUGAAUACAACAGGUAUAGUAGACCUUACAGUGAAAUGCUGAAUACAACAGGUAUAGUAGACCUUACAGUGAAAUGCUGAAUACAACAGGUGUAGUAGACCUUACAGUGAAAUGCUGAAUACAACAGGUAUAGUAGACCUUACAGUGAAAUGCUGAAUACAACAGGUGUAGUAGACCUUACAGUGAAAUGCUGAAUACAACAGGUGUAGUAGACCUUACAGUGAAAUGCUGAAUACAACAGGUAUAGUAGACCUUACAGUGAAAUGCUGAAUACAACAGGUAUAGUAGACCUUACAGUGAAAUGCUGAAUACAACAGGUAUAGUAGACCUUACAGUGAAAUGCUGAAUACAACAGGUAUAGUAGACCUUACAGUGAAAUGCUGAAUACAACAGGUGUAGUAGACCUUACAGUGAAAUGCUG